GACGAACGCUGGCGGCGGGUUUAACACAUGCAAGUCGAGGGACGAAGUUUGGUGCUUGCACCGAACGGAAACCGGCGAACGGGUGAGUAACACGUGAGGAACCAACCCUUCACUUUGGGAUAACCCAAGGAAACUUGGGCUAAUACCGGAUACCCCGGAUUGAUCGCAUGAUCUUUCCAGGAAAGCUCCGGCGGUGAUGGACGGUCUCGCGGCCUAUCAGCUAGUUGGUGAGGUAACGGCUCACCAAGGCGACGACGGGUAGCUGGAGUGAGAGCUCGAACAGCCACACUGGGACUGAGACACGGCCCAGACUCCUACGGGAGGCAGCAGUGGAGAAUCUUGCACAAUGGGCGAAAGCCUGAUGCAGCCACGCCGCGUGAGGGACGAAUGUCUUCGGAUUGUAAACCUCUUUCAGUCGUGAAGAAGCGCAAGUGACGGUAACGACAGAAGAAGCCCCGGCUAACUACGUGCCAGCAGCCGCAGUAAAAC
This 489-nucleotide ribosomal RNA is filed under the name uncultured bacterium. RNAcentral describes it as "bacterial SSU rRNA". It matches the Rfam family "Bacterial small subunit ribosomal RNA", at positions 28 to 526 of the family's 1533-position model. The record is from RNAcentral.